AGAGCGAACGCUGGCGGCAGGCCUAACACAUGCAAGUCGAGCGCCCGUAGCAAUACGGGAGCGGCAGACGGGAUAGUAACACGUGGGAACGCGCCCUUCGGUUCGGAAUAACUCAGGGAAACUUGAGCUAAUACCGAAUACGCCCUUACGGGGAAAGAUUUAUUGCCGAAGGAACGGCCCGCGUCCGAUUAGCUAGUUGGUGAGGUAAUGGCUCACCAAGGCUACGAUCGGUAGCUGGUCUGAGAGGAUGACCAGCAUCACUGGGACUGAGACACGGCCCAGACUCCUACGGGAGGCAGCAGUGGGGAAUAUGGACAAUGGGCGCAAGCCUGAUCCAGCCAUGCCGCGUGGAUGAUGAAGGCCUUAGGGUUGUAAAGUCCUUUUAACGGGGAAGAUAAUGACGGUACCGUAGAAUAAGCCCCGGCUAACUUCGUGCCAGCAGCCGC
RNAcentral lists this ribosomal RNA (446 nucleotides) under uncultured bacterium. Its description in RNAcentral is "SSU rRNA". It matches the Rfam family "Bacterial small subunit ribosomal RNA", at positions 26 to 518 of the family's 1533-position model. The record is from RNAcentral.